Molecule: ribosomal RNA, 444 nt
Filed under: Vibrio parahaemolyticus
Lineage: Bacteria; Pseudomonadati; Pseudomonadota; Gammaproteobacteria; Vibrionales; Vibrionaceae
Description: bacterial SSU rRNA
Rfam family: Bacterial small subunit ribosomal RNA
Source: RNAcentral
AAAUUGAAGAGUUUGAUCAUGGCUCAGAUUGAACGCUGGCGGCAGGCCUAACACAUGCAAGUCGAGCGGAAACGAGUUAUCAGAACCUUCGGGGGACGAUAACGGCGUCGAGCGGCGGACGGGUGAGUAAUGCCUAGGAAAUUGCCCUGAUGUGGGGGAUAACCAUUGGAAACGAUGGCUAAUACCGCAUGAUGCCUACGGGCCAAAGAGGGGGACCUUCGGGCCUCUCGCGUCAGGAUAUGCCUAGGUGGGAUUAGCUAGUUGGUGAGGUAAGGGCUCACCAAGGCGACGAUCCCUAGCUGGUCUGAGAGGAUGAUCAGCCACACUGGAACUGAGACACGGUCCAGACUCCUACGGGAGGCAGCAGUGGGGAAUAUUGCACAAUGGGCGCAAGCCUGAUGCAGCCAUGCCGCGUGUGUGAAGAAGGCCUUCGGGUUGUAAAGC